This 253-nucleotide ribosomal RNA is filed under the name uncultured bacterium. RNAcentral's name for it is "partial 16S ribosomal RNA". It matches the Rfam family "Bacterial small subunit ribosomal RNA", at positions 524 to 776 of the family's 1533-position model. The record is from RNAcentral.
UACGGAGGGUGCGAGCGUUGUCCGGAAUCACUGGGCGUAAAGGGCGCGUAGGUGGUGACCUAAGCGUGCGGUGAAAGCCCGAGGCUCAACCUCGGGUCGGCCGUGCGAACUGGGUCACUGGAGCAGAAUAGAGGCAGGUGGAAUUCCGGGUGUAGCGGUGGAAUGCGUAGAGAUCCGGAAGAACCCCGGUGGCGAAGGCGGCCUGCUGGGUUCUGGCUGACACUGAGGCGCGACAGCGUGGGGAGCAAACAGG